RNAcentral lists this ribosomal RNA (157 nucleotides) under Ophiocordyceps sinensis. RNAcentral's name for it is "5.8S ribosomal RNA". It matches the Rfam family "5.8S ribosomal RNA". From Rfam's summary of the family: 5.8S ribosomal RNA (5.8S rRNA) is a component of the large subunit of the eukaryotic ribosome. It is transcribed by RNA polymerase I as part of the 45S precursor that also contains 18S and 28S rRNA. Functionally, it is thought that 5.8S rRNA may be involved in ribosome translocation. The record is from RNAcentral. Lineage: Eukaryota; Fungi; Ascomycota; Sordariomycetes; Hypocreales; Ophiocordycipitaceae.
AACUUUCAACAACGGAUCUUUUGGUUCUGGCAUCGAUGAAGAACGCAGCGAAAUGCGAUAAGUAAUGUGAAUUGCAGAAUUCAGUGAACCAUCGAAUCUUUGAACGCACAUUGCGCCCGCCAGCCCUCUGGCGGGCAUGCCUGUCCGAGCGUCAUCU